RNAcentral lists this ribosomal RNA (263 nucleotides) under uncultured bacterium. RNAcentral describes it as "partial 16S ribosomal RNA". It matches the Rfam family "Bacterial small subunit ribosomal RNA", at positions 524 to 786 of the family's 1533-position model. The record is from RNAcentral.
GACGAAGGUGGCGAGCGUUGUUCGAAAUCACUGGGCUUAAAGGGCGCGUAGGCGGAUCGGCACGUGUCUUGUGAAAUCCCCCGGCUUAACCGGGGAAUUGCUUGGCAAACGGCCGGUCUUGAGGCAAGCAGGGGUGCGUGGAACUCUUGGUGGAGCGGUGGAAUGCGUAGAUAUCAAGAGGAACGCCGAAGGUGAAGACAGCGCACUGGGCUUGCCCUGACGCUGAGGCGCGAAAGCGUGGGGAGCAAACAGGAUUAGAUACC